RNAcentral lists this long non-coding RNA (288 nucleotides) under Physcomitrium patens. RNAcentral describes it as "long non-coding RNA (PPAT_LNC005297)". Lineage: Eukaryota; Viridiplantae; Streptophyta; Bryopsida; Funariales; Funariaceae. The record is from RNAcentral.
UGCAAAUUACUUGUCAAAGCUACAUGCAAUAAUAAAGGCACAAUUAUUGGAAACUCAAGAACGACAAAAAAUUAAUGCAUAUGCCUAUUUCAAGGAAAAAUCAUAAUUCAAUAUAAAUAAUAAGGUAUGACUACUUCAUUGCAAUAUUAAGACUAUUUGUCCUUGUAACAAGUUGGACUAUUGUAGGCUUGGAUCUUUUCCUAUUAGUGAACAAGUCAAUCUUAUUGCUUAUCAAUUAUAUCUACCAAAGUCUAUGAAGAUCCAUUCCAUAUUUCACAUAUUUCUUCU